CCGCCAGAGAACAACGAGCAAAGCUUAAAACCCAAAGGACUUGGCGGCGCUCCACACCACCCUAGAGGGGCCUGUCACACAACCGAUAACCCACGAUUAACCCCGCCAUUUUUAGCCCAUACAGCCUAUAUACCGCCGUCGCCAGCCCAUCUUGAAAAGAAAUAAAAUGGGCCCAAUAGUCCAAUGCCACUAACACGACAGGUCGAGGUGUAGCUUAUGAGAUGGUAAAUGAUGGACCACAUUGCUACUCCAGCUAAACCAAAAUUGCACUGAAAUACGCCCUUUAAGGUGAAUUUAACAGUAAGGUGGGCAAGAAAACCCACCUAAAGAUUGCUCUGGAGCGUGCACACACCGCCGGUCCACCCUCAA
RNAcentral lists this ribosomal RNA (369 nucleotides) under Trioceros johnstoni. RNAcentral's name for it is "partial 12S ribosomal RNA". It matches the Rfam family "Bacterial small subunit ribosomal RNA", at positions 869 to 1407 of the family's 1533-position model. Lineage: Eukaryota; Metazoa; Chordata; Lepidosauria; Squamata; Chamaeleonidae. The record is from RNAcentral.